Brassica napus (rape) is the source of this 9693-nucleotide long non-coding RNA. RefSeq lists it as uncharacterized. Lineage: Eukaryota; Viridiplantae; Streptophyta; Magnoliopsida; Brassicales; Brassicaceae. The transcript is spliced from 5 exons. The record is from RefSeq and is a predicted model, not a curated record.
UCAUGAUUGCCGUCGCCUUAGAGGGAGAGAAAAUGUAAUGAUUAAAUUUCCUACAUAUUUUAAAUUAGAUGCAUGCAUAUAUAGUCGAAAGUCAAUAAUAGUGAAAGUCAAUAAUAGUUGAUCUUUUGUUCUAGGGUUUUAGAAUUUUUUUUUAUAGGUCUUAGUAGUCGAAUAUAUGUUAUAUCUUUCUACACCCUAAAAUAUAGAAAUAUCUUUUCCUUUACUAUAGUUUUUUCAUUUUAUCCACAAUCAUGAACAAUAUGACUCUGGAAUCAAAAAUCAUUUAAACAGGAGACGAAAUCCAGCGUUUUGCUCUUAACCUAAAAGUUUUCUUCUUGAAUUAAUUACCCUCAGCAUUCUCCUUGAUUUGUCUUCACUCAGCAAUGGUUUUUUUUAUGUACCACAUAUUAUUAGUACAUAUUAAAGUGCUUAACAUGCAAAUGCAGGUUGAACAAUUAACUGUUGAUUUACCAGAUUAAUUAAAAGAUUAAUUCUUAUCCCUUCGUUUCAGAUUACUUGUCGUUUAAGACUUCGGCACACAAAUUAAGAAAACAUUUAAUUUUGUAUAUUUACUAGAUAAAAACAUCAUUACCAAUACACCUAACCACAUUUCAACCAAUUAAAAAAUAGAUAAAAAUAUAUAAUCAAUAAAUUUUGCAUUGAAAUUAUAAAACAACACUUAUUUUGAAACAAAAAUUUUACCUUACAAUGACAAGUAAUCUGAAACAGAGGGAGUAUCAGUUUAAUUUAUCUUAUAUAAAGCAAACAAAAAACAAAUCUAUCUUAUAUAUAUAAUAGGCUUUGCUUCUCUCCCACCUAUGCCAACAAGGACGCCACGUCAUAAAUUGUGCUCUUCUGUGCGCGACACGUGUCCUCUGCACUGCAUUUCAUUAAAGUGUUUUCAUAUUGUUUCGGGCUUGGUGUUGGACUUGGUGGUGCGCUUCAUCUGUGGACCAUCGACCACAAGCUUUAAUUAUGUCUUCUAUUGUUCUCCUUCUCAGCCGUAGGAGGUUUUGUGUUUCCAUGGAAACUGAUCAUUCUUCCUCCUGAUCCAUCAAUCAACAGGAGCCGUAGCGAAUUUAGAGUUUCCAGCCAACUAUUCAUCUUCUUCCUACUGAUCAAGUAAUCAAUCGGUUACGAAAUCAUUGCUAUUAAAUUCUCUCUUUAAAUCAAUCUACACGAUCUCUCUUCAAUGCUACUUUAGCUCUUCAAAGGCAGUGGUGGUUCGACUAUAAAAAAGGUUAGCAUCCCUACAAUCUGUAGCAUCCUAUCAAUCUAUUAUAACCAAAGCAAUCUCCUUAUUUUCUGAAAAAAUGGCUAAUGCUCGAUUGGGUCUUUUCGUAUGUGAUUUCUAAGGUUCAACCCACGCUUUCUUCUCCGCCAUUCAGCUACUGCUUACUAAGCACAGAAAAAUUGAUGACUUCCCAGAUCCAAAAGCAAUACGCUAGACGUCAUGUCUCAAUAUGAGGUUAAUUUACUUCUGGGAUUUUAGAAGUUUGAGUGAAUCAAUCAUCUUUUUGAGCGAUCUCCAACAGAAGAUUUUGUUGGUAUUUUUUUAAUGAAAAAUACUGAUGGUACAUUAGUAACAAUUAAUGCUGGGAUGGACAUUGCAUUCCGUCGGAAGAGGAGAAAACCGACAAGUAUUGGCGACGUCGACACCAGAUAUUAAGGCAACAACCAUCAGAUUCAACCUUUGAUUUACAGCAAAAACAGUGUUCGGGUGGCUUCACCUCUUUACCUUCUCUUAUUGCUACCAUCGUGUUUGCUUUCCUUGACAUUAACUCUUUAGCUGGACUACCUGGUAAGGUACAUCAAUGUCUUUUCUUGAUGACUUACUCGAUUUUCAGAUCAAACUUUGCUAAUAAUCUUCAUUUUUCCUUCAGCAAUUCAGGCCAACAAAAACAACUGCUAAGUUUUACGCUCAACUUGAGCUUCACAUUUCAUCGGACAACGUGUGCUUCUGUUUACGAUUAUUAUAUUGCCAUUAACUGUUGAUCCAAAAAACAAAUCUAAAAGCCUACAUGAUUUUAUGUAUGUAGAUAAUUAGAAGAGCUUAGUGCUGCAAGCGGUCAAAUUAUUCUGUUAUCAUUGUAUUUUAAGAUCACAAGAUUCCGUAGCUAACUUGCCACUUCAACUAUACAAGGUAACAUAAAUUCUUUGAACCUCAUAGUAAAAGCUACAUCUAUGGUCACUUUAAUGGGUAUGCCUUUUCUGCAUAUCAGUGGUCCAUUUUUGAAGUGCAAAAAGUGGUACUUGGAAAAAAAGUAAGUUAAAAAAUUUCUUUAAUUCUGGAUCUUUUCCUCUUCAAGAAAAGAUGUAAGAUGGCUUUUCUUAUUUCCAGAUAGACUACUCUUCGUAGUCCUGUUUGUAACCUCAGUACAUGUGAUGGUGAGAUAUGCUUAUUCAAAUUUUAGAAUUGGUGUUAGUCUUUUAGUCCCUCCAAUAAAAAGAUCACAGAUUAAAAUAUUUGUUUCUUUUGUAGGAAUAAUUCAAACACUGACGUUAGUAACAUUUGGUAUUUUAAAUGAAAGCUGUAAAAUGGAAAAUGAGAUUCUAUCUUACUGGAUUUCAUAAGUUUCACAGAGACGAGAGUAUAGCUUCUUUCUUUUGUCAAACACAAGUUAUUUGUUUUUUCAUUAUUUUAGUUACAAAUGUGUUUCUAUGUGCUCUUUUGAUUUGUUGAAAAAGAGGUAGUAGAGAAGACGAAUUACACAAACACAUAACAUGGAUAUGUUGAUGAAUGUUUACGAAAAAUAUAACGUAUAUGAUGAGUGACUGGCUAAAUCAAUAAUAGAUAGAUUAAAAGUUGUAUAGGAACAAAAGCAUUUUAGGUGACGUUGAAAAAUAUGCAUAAAAAGAAGGAAAUCUGCUACAUCUAUUUGUAUUCACACCUGGUCAAUUAUAUUUUGCAUUAUCAAGAGUAGUGAUUACGCAAAAACAAACCAAAUGUGCGACUAUCUUUGAAUAAACCAGCUAGGUAACAAAUUCUUUUGCUUAUGAUUGUGUUCCAUUUAUGAUUUAUUGCAGAUAUAGGAUUUAGUUUACAAGUCUGAAGCCCAUAAGAAAACACAUCUAAGUUAAUUAUAAAAUGUAACUAUGUAAGGUCAUAUUUUUCCCUCGCAGACGAUGCUUCUCGAAGCUCUAAUGAAUUAAUCUGAUGCUUCAAAAACUAUAACAAUAAUGCUUCUUUGAUGGUCUGUUUCUCUGUCUCGGUAGGCUUCUUCACCCAUUUUCUCUACCAUAUUUAAUUAGUAUCUUUACCACUCAAACGACUCAUAUCUGGUGGGUAAAUACUAUGAAAGCUUCGAUUGGAAUUUUGAGGAUAUUAGCAUUGGCACAUAUUGAUAAGAACUCGCUACAACCGAGUAAACUAACUAUGGCGGGUAUUUGUUUCUUAACUACCAAAAUUUAUGUCUUUAAAUAGACUUUGCGGAUGUAGAUUUGAGUAGGCUUAUUUUGGAGAUAAAUAGUGUGGAAAAUUAUUGUAGUUCAAGAGUUUCUGAAGUAUUUUGGUGGAAAACAUUUGCUACGAACUAGCUGGGAGACCAACUCCUCCCUAUUGCUCUUAGUCAGACCCUCAAACCAGCUCUUAUGCGGUUUGGUUCCAGUUCCAAGUUGAUAAGAAAGCGAAAAGGCUUUUACUUUCUCUUCCGAUGAAUUUUAUUUGCAGAAACUAAGAGUUUAUUCCGAGAAUUCACUUUUUUUUUCUAAUUAUAGCUGUCACACAAAAAAGUGGUUACAGUUAGUCAAACAAUAACAAACUACUUUAUUAUACCAUUUCCAAAUAUUGAGUUUUAUAAUAAAAUAGUGUUUAAAGCAUGUGUUAUAUUUCAAAUCAUUAGGAAAGACCAAUGUAUUAUCUUCACAUAAGAAACGAAAAUGGAGAUUAUUGCAAAUCAAGCCCAUACUUUAGAGCUUGGACAUGAACUACCAACUUCAGCCAUUUAAUAUUAUAAUAUCAGGGAAAUACAACUGAAUAAUGCAACCAUCCUUCAGCUAAUAAGACGCCUAGCAUAUAUCAAAUAGAACUUGCCCGAGCUCCAACAACGCACUUUUUUUUCAAGCAUAGCCGUAUCAUGGCUCCUGUAAUCAUAGGGUUUAUGGUGAAUAUAACAUUAACAGAUUUCUGAAAUUCAUCCCUCAUGGUUUCUGUUAUUCUAUUAGGUUAUAAUACUUAUUAAAAAAUAAGUGUCAUAUACAUAGGCUAAAAUAAUAACACACCUUAAAGGAAUUAUUGGGCUGCACAGAGUUGUACAUAUACGUCAUGCAUCCUUUUUAUUAGGACAUUCAGUCAAUAAAAAAAACAGUGUGAAUCAUAUCAGUUAAAACUUGACCUUCUUUCUAACAAUAUAAUACAUAGUAUAGACAAGUUGUUUUUAAAUACACAGUGUAAGAGAAGUUACUUUAUUUAGAAAACUAUAUAAUAAAUAUCAUGAAAAUCAAACUCUUAAUAUAAUAUUUUAUACACAAACAUUUAGUAUAAACACAACCAUUCUUAAUAACAAUAAACAUUAUUAAACACCACAAAUUCUAACGUAAAACCCAUCCAAUAAAAAUCUAUAAUAAUAUAGUUCACACAUCAUCACACGACAAUCACAAACAAUUAAAAUGGAGAUCAUAAUAUGAAUUAAGAUCAAUAAAAAGUGAACUUAUAUGAUUUAAAAGAAAAAAAUGAUAAAAACAUAUACACCACCAUAAUAAAAAUUGAAGAUACUCUCAUUCAAAUCAUUAAAAAAUUUAGUUAACUGCAACAAGACUAAAACUAAAUCUUUUUACAACAAAAAAAAUUAAUAGUAAAAAUUACAAAAUAAAUAGAUAAAAUAAUCAUAUAAAAAAAUUUACACAUUAAACAGAAUCAAGCAUUUUAAGAAAAAUAAAAUUGUAGAACAAAAUAUAUAAAGAACAUUUAAAACUAUUUCUAACGAGCAUAAUAUAUCUUAUCACAUAUAAUCUUUCAUCACCUAAACCUUUCUAAAAGACAAAAAGCAUUAUCAUACACAUCUCUUGCAAAUGAAACCAAAACACAAACCACAAAUCAUUAAAAAAUAAUAAUCAAGAUCUAACAUGUAAAGUAUAUCCCGCCCGUAAGGCGGGCCGACCCUAGUUGCAUAUAUAUAGUUAUUUUCCUAUAUAGGCAUCAUCAUUCCAUCCGCUGCAAGAACCAAGAACGGCUCCAUCCGCGUAAGAACGCUCGUCGGAAGUUCUCUACCACGCGUUCCCAUCGCAUGUACCCGACACGGCAGCAUCAUGCUCAGAGUAAUCAUAACCGACGAUGACUUUGAAUACUGCAGAAACUACCUCCUUGGCGUAGUCUCUUGCUAAGCUACGAUGUUUUUGGGACCUAUGUGGUCCAACACGUGCUUAAGCAUAAUAACCUGCAUUGCACGUAUAACAUUGCGGUUAGCCUCCGUGGCCAUUACGUCGAGCUUGUAAGAUCAUUUGGUGGGGUCACAUAAGUUAAAGAAUAAAUAUGAUAGAGCCAUUAAUCAAUUAGCAUAUUUAAGUGGUCGCUAUUGUGAUUAAGAUAAAAGCCUGGGCAUAAGUGUUAUGAGAUAUUUAUAUGUGGAUCUCUUAAGUAAUUUUUAGUUUAUUGAAAGGCUGAACUAGAAAUUAAUUCUCUAUAGAGAGUUAUGGUCCCCAAGGCAACCCUAGCCGAAAAAUACUGAAUCUCUACAUCCCAUCAGUGGAGAACUAAAGUCACAUGGGGUUUGUUUUGGAAGAUCCAUUCCCUAACUUCAAAUCCUAAAACAACUCGACCGAAGGAUAAACUCAAAAUCCUCAAGAACUAGUAUAUAUAUAUAAAAUAGAGUUUCCUUCUCUCCCAGCGUGUCCACGUACGCGGACAUGUCACUAAUUCGGACGUCGACCAUCUGACAUGUGUCCUCUAACAAAAACGCGGCCUUUCAUUAAUGUUACGGACUUACCCGAGUUUCUUUUGUUACAGGCUUUGAAUAACGUUUGGUAGGCUGAAACCAAAACAAAUGCUUGCUCUGUAGUAGCCUUCGUCUUCUUCAAUGAUGAAGACUUCUGGUAUCUAGGGUUCUUAGUUUCUAUCGAACUCCAAUUAGGUCAAUUGACAAUGGAGGUUGUAGAGUGAUGUGUGAGACGCAUCUCCGUGAGGAAUCUCUGGGUGGAGCUCCGAUCGUGUUGUUCCGUCUGAAAUUCAUCUCCUUGAACCGUUAAGGAAAUAAUUGAUUCAACGCCAUUGAUGACCCAAGGAUGUUUAGAGUCCCUAUUAAAUCUCUCCACCACUACACCUUCCCACCUAGGAUUGCAAAACCCCAACUUUUAACAGGCAACUUAUCAGAUUAGUGUUUUCAAUGGGCUAAGUGAUCAUCCAACCUACCGGCUCUCUACGCUUAUUAAUUUUUUACGUCUCCAUGGCAAACCGAUCAUCGCAACCUACCGGAAAGUUUCCUUCAGCACUAUUUUCCGAUGAAAAUCAACCAACCUAGGAGAGACGAAACACAAGAGCUCUUUGUUGUUGCUUUGGGACGUCUGGCAAACAUCUCACUGACUGUUCAGCUUGAACCUGAGUUUUCAAAAAAAUGUCAGACAGAUUGUUCUUCUUGGUGGACCAUUCACAGUAAACGGAAAGGUAAAUCCAGCAUCGAAAGCUAAUAGCUCUUACAAGCAAACUUCUUUUCCCCGGGUGAACAUGUGGUCCAGCAAUUGGAUUUGAUGACUGAUAUGUUGGAAACUCAAAUCUGCGGAAGCCAUUGGAAGGUCCACGUCCCUUUCCAGUUUCCACAGCUGCAUUGUUACUAUUUUUGGGUGAAAUGCGUGCACUCUGAAUGUGACAUGUUAGGAACAGGAAAGCUCGAAGAAGAAAAAGCCUAUUCAUUUCUCACAUAACUUUCCACAUGCUGACGGGAUGUGGUAGCUCGUUUGGUAAGAGCUUUGGGGGCCAAUUGUCAUGUUUCCGGGUUCGACGCCAGGCGGAGGGGAACUGCCCAUCCUGUCAUCAAAUGCGGUACUGGGUGUUGGGCCUUGUCCCCAGCCCAGGUAAAGCCCUCCCGGGUGAAGUGGACCGCUGUCUAACCGGGUCCAGGGGAAUGACCCACGUAAGUGGGGAACCCCUGGAUUAUCAAAAAAAAAAAAAAAAAAAAAAAAAAAAAAACUUUCCACAUGCUGAUCCCCUUGCUCUUCAUCUUUUAGAGAAUUUGUUUUCUUUAAAACCCAAGGACCUACCUACAGCUGAAAAGGAGCAUCACACAUUUCUUUUUUACAUUCGUUGUGAUCCAAGUGGGUUGUAUUCAAAAGCUAUAUUUACGUGAAAAUCCAGAAAGACUGCAAACUCUAUACAUGAUGCUUACUAAGAUUACUAACGGUCUUUCAUGUAAUCAACCGGUUUUAUGGAUUACUCCAGGCGAUCACAAAGUUGGGUAGAGAAGCGAUUAGACAUAUAUUUGGCGAGGAAAUUGGAGGCUUACACAGGCCAUUAGAGCUUCUUCUCAUAUCAUAGUAUCUCAGCUAGAUUUGAUUACUAGCCAGAAAUUUGUGAGGAUUACAAAGAAAACGGAAAGUAUGGAUAUGGUGAUAGAUGUAAAUAUGAAUAUUUUUAAUAUUAUAUAUAAAUAAUUAAUUUGAAGUAAAAUAAAGGUAUUGAGAUGUUCCAUCAAUUUUCAUAUUAAUAUUGUCACCACAAUCCAGCAACUUUAAGUUUAAUUUUAAAUUACAAACUCAUUAAUUUGAUAAAUAAUUUUAUUUAUCUCAAAUAUAAUUUAUUAAAUGUAUAGUUAAUAAGAACAUAAAUGUAUAGUUUCUCAUCAAAGUUGAGAUUUUUCUUUUUCGAAAAUUAUGCAAAGGCCUUACGGAUGGCGCAAACCUCAAAAAUAAUCAUUUACAAUAGUUGUUAGAUACAAAUUCAACUGAGAAUAACAUAACAACUCAAUCAUGGUGGUAUCAUAGAAGCAAAAAAACAAAACAAAAAUUACUUACAUAUAAACUAACCAACAACUUAAAUUAAGAAAAUAAUAUAUCUCAUACAUACCUCUAGCAAAUAUGAACCUAAAACACAAAACACAAAAUUAUAUAAAAAAUAAUAGCCUAAAUUACAAAUAAAAUAUAUCCCAUCUGUAGGGCGGGUCGACCCUAGUUUACUAUAUUUAGAUAUCAAAAUAAAUAUAGCAUUUAAAUGUAAUGUAAUUGUUAUUUUUUAGAAGAUACAAAUUAAAAUAUUAUUGAAAUUCAACUAAAUCUAAAUAAAUAUACAUUGAGAUAGUUAAAUCAAACUAAAUAUAAUUGUUUUUAUAGUUUUAAUUUUUAAACAAAAAACUUAAAAUCUAAAAAUUAAUUAAAUUGAAUAUAUAUUAAAAUAAAACUAUUAUUUAAAAAGUUAUCGUAACUGCACGAUGCGCAUGAAGCCUCCUAGUACCACAUAUUAUUCUAGUAUUCAAGUUAAAACAUGUUUAAUUAUGAAAUUUUUGACAAAUAAAAGAAAAGAUAAAUCGUUUUUUGGAAAUAUAUAUAUAUAUAUAUAUAACUAAAUCAACUUUUAUAUUAUUCUACAUCCAUUUUGAAUGAGUUAGUUCACUAAAAAUGACAAUAAUGAUAAAAUAUAGACAAUAAAAGUCAUUUUUAUAUAAAACAGCAGCAUGGGAGCCUCUCGAUUCAUAUCGCAAAGUUUUGGUGGAAAUCAUUGGACAAACUGUGUCUGCCGAAGAAUCUUGGUGGUAUGGGUUUUCGAAUCUAGAGAGUUUCAACUAGGCUCUGUUGGUGAAACAAGGAUAGAGAAUCCUGAACCAGCCAGAAGGGUUGAUGGCAAGUUUCCUGACAAGUCGGUACUACCUCAGUCAGAUUUUCUAGACGCUGCUUUAGGUGAUCGAUCUUCCCACACCUGGUGCAGUAUUCUUUUCGGUAGGGAAUUGUUACAAAAGGGGUCGAAUCGGUGCAUAGGAAAUGGAAAAAACACUAAGGUAUGGAGUGACAAAUAGUUAAACGAUCCAGUGGAAGGAUGGAGAGCUCCUUGGAUUAAAAACUACUCUUUUAAUGUUUGCCUUAGAGUCUCUGAUCUAAUAAAUGGGCAGUCGAGAAGAUGGAAUCCUCAAAUGCUACAGGAGGGGAUGUAAAGCUGAUUGAUUCUAAAGAACCAACAUGUAGUAUCCAGAAAAGAAUUUUAUGUAUGGAAACAUAAUAAAAGUGGUAGUUUGACAUUUCGAUCAACCUUCUGGCUUGCGUGAGAUAUGAAAACUAAAUCUGUGCAUCCAGAAGUGCUUGAGCUGCCCUCGGUUAAUGGUUUCAAGGAGAAAAUAUGAAAAAUUCCAAUAGUGCCUAAAAUUAAGAUUUUCUUGUGGAAAGGCCUGAGUAGUGCUUUGCUAGUGGCGGAUCAGAUAAUUGCAAGAGGAUGAAAACAGAUAUUAGAUGUCAAGUCUGUGGCUUAGAUGGAGAAUCUAUUAAUCACUAACUCUUUGAGUGUACGUUUGCUAGGCAGGUCUGGGACUUAUCAGGGAUCCCUCACCAGAGAAAUGGAUGCUCGAACUCUGUUUUUGCUAACAUGAAUCGGUUGCUUGAACUAAGAAGUGCAGGGGGCGAUAGGCAGGAUGCUUAAGAGCGUGGUCUUGGAUGAUUUGGGCAAUCUUGAAGAGCAGAAAUGAUCUAAUCUUUUCGGGAACUAGAUGGUGGGCAGCGGAUGUAACUAAGAAAGCUUUACAAAAUUCUGAGGAAAGGUUUAAAUCCUAUCGACAUACAGAU